CGGGGUGAGUAACGCGUGGGUAACCUGCCUUGUACAGGGGGAUAACAGUUGGAAACGGCUGCUAAUACCGCAUAAGCGCACGGCAUCGCAUGAUGCAGUGUGAAAAACUCCGGUGGUAUAAGAUGGACCCGCGUUGGAUUAGCUAGUUGGUGAGGUAACGGCCCACCAAGGCGACGAUCAGUAGCCGACCUGAGAGGGCGACCGGCCACAUUGGGACUGAGACACGGCCCAA
This 232-nucleotide ribosomal RNA is filed under the name uncultured bacterium. RNAcentral describes it as "partial 16S ribosomal RNA". It matches the Rfam family "Bacterial small subunit ribosomal RNA", at positions 104 to 334 of the family's 1533-position model. The record is from RNAcentral.